UGCGCAGAUAUCAGGAGGAACACCGAUGGCGAAGGCAGGUCUCUGGGCUGUAACUGACGCUGAGGAGCGAAAGCAUGGGGAGCGAACAGGAUUAGAUACCCUGGUAGUCCAUGCCGUAAACGUUGGGCACUAGGUGUGGGGACCAUUCCACGGUUUCCGCGCCGCAGCUAACGCAUUAAGUGCCCCGCCUGGGGAGUACGGCCGCAAGGCUAAAACUCAAAGGAAUUGACGGGGGCCCGCACAAGCGGCGGAGCAUGCGGAUUAAUUCGAUGCAACGCGAAGAACCUUACCAAGGCUUGACA
RNAcentral lists this ribosomal RNA (302 nucleotides) under Micrococcus luteus. RNAcentral describes it as "bacterial SSU rRNA". It matches the Rfam family "Bacterial small subunit ribosomal RNA", at positions 687 to 986 of the family's 1533-position model. The record is from RNAcentral. Lineage: Bacteria; Bacillati; Actinomycetota; Actinomycetes; Micrococcales; Micrococcaceae.